CUCGGCCUGGCCGAGGAAUGAAAGGCUGCUGCCUGCGAGCUGCAGCCUGUCUUUCCGGGCAUCUAGUAGUGGUUUGGUUGUGUGGAUCUGCAGCCUUAGAAAUAAAAUGCUGCUCGUUCUCGCGUUGUACUCGACUUGAGUGACAAUCCGCCGCCGCCAACCUGGUUACCACAAAAAGCUGAGAUUGCAGGGAGUGAAAGAACAAGCGGGAUGGAGACCCCAGACCUCUUGUCAGCAGCCCUGGAUGAGUCGGGAAUUGGGGAGGAGGAAAUGGCCAACAACCAUGCACAAGACUCCAGUGCGAACAUGUCAAGAUUUCAAAUUCCUCCGCACCUGAUGAACUACCUGCCGCCACACAUGAUCCAGCAGAUGGCACAAGCCAUGGCCCAACAAAUGGCGCAAGCGAUGGCUCAGCAGAUGCCUUUUCCCCAAGGAGGCUCUGGCAGCAAGUUCCCGCCUGGAGGAGGUGGGCCCCGUGGCCCCGGCAUGGAUGGAGCUGGCAAGGGUUCAGGUUCACCUUACUACAUGGUUCCGCCUUUUGGGUUCAAGGCCGGAAAUGGAUCGGCACCUCUAUACCCCAUGUUUCGGCCACCUUUCGACAUGAAGUACGGUAUGGGACCAGGAGCUAUGCCCGCCCAGGCUCAGCAAACUGGAGAGGACGCUGAAGAAGAGGAAGAACUGGGACUGGCCGAGACGUAUGCUGACUACACACCUUCUAAAUUGAAAAUUGGAGAGCGGCACCCAGAUGCUGUGGUGGAGACCAGCUCUUUGUCAAGUGUACAGCCGCCGGCCGUGUGGUACAACCUGUCUAUUCCGGAGGAAGUCAUCGAUCGUGCACUGCUAUCUGCACUUCAGCUGGAGGCAAUUGUCUAUGCCAGCCAGCAGCAUGAAGUGCUACUUCCUGAUGGGAGCCGAGCGGGGUUCCUCAUUGGAGACGGUGCUGGUGUGGGCAAAGGUCGAACCAUUGCAGGGAUUAUUUAUGAGAACUACCUCUUGGGUCGCAAGAGAGCUAUCUGGGUAAGCGUGUCCAAUGAUUUGAAGUAUGAUUCCGAACGAGACCUGCGGGACAUUGGUGCUGGAAAAAUUGAGGUUCAUUCUUUAAACAAGUUCAAAUACGCGAAGAUCUCCUCCAAGGUGAAUGGCAGCGUGAAGAAGGGCGUCAUAUUUUCCACGUACUCGUCUCUGAUUGGUGAAAGCCAAAGUGGCGGCAAGUACAAGACACGACUCAAACAGCUCCUGCACUGGUGUGGAGACGACUUUGAUGGAGUUAUUGUAUUUGACGAGUGCCACAAAGCCAAGAACCUGUGUCCCGUGGGCUCCUCCAAACCGACAAAGACUGGCCUCACCGUGCUUGAACUGCAGAACAAGCUUCCCAAAGCACGAGUGGUCUAUGCGAGUGCUACAGGCGCCUCUGAGCCAAAGAACAUGGCCUACAUGACUCGCCUAGGCAUCUGGGGUGAAGGAACACCGUUCCGGGAGUUCACAGAUUUCAUUUCAGCUGUCGAGAAGCGAGGCGUUGGUGCCAUGGAGCUGGUUGCCAUGGACAUGAAGUUGAGAGGCAUGUAUAUGGCCCGCCAGCUGAGCUUCACUGGUGUAUCCUUCAAGAUCGACGAGAUCCCACUGGCAAAGAACUUCAUCGCCAUGUACAAUGAAUCGGUGAAGCUGUGGGUGGAUGCUCGUGCAAUGUUCCAAGAGGCAGCCGAGCUGAUGGAGGGCGAUUCGCGCAUCAAGAAGACAAUGUGGGGCCAGUUCUGGGCCUCUCAUCAGCGUUUCUUCAAGUACCUCUGCAUCGCUUCUAAGGUGCCACACGUGGUGUCCCUUGCCCGAGAGGCCGUCAAAAACGAUAAGUGUGUGGUGAUUGGCCUGCAGUCUACGGGGGAGGCUAGGACACUGGAACAGUUAGAGGAACAAGGUGGUGAACUCUCGGACUUCGUCUCUACGGCAAAGGGAGUCUUGCAGACUCUCAUCGAGAAGCAUUUCCCGGCACCCAACCGCAAGAAGUCUCUGAAGCUUCUGGGGCUGGGUGGCAUUGUGGAUGAACUAAGCCCCUCGCCGCCCCCGUCAUCUUCGUCGGGGGGACACAAGCGGAAGAGUGCUCGACAGGCUCGGCAGGGGGUGAAGCGCUACAGGGAGGCUUCCUCGGGUGAUGACGAUGACAGUGACGUUGAGGUCAAGAGUGAGCCGGAGAGCGACUUUGAGCCGUCUGUGUCCAGUUCGGCAGCAGAGGAGUCGGAUGGCAGCUCGGCUGUCGAAUCGGAUGCAGAAGAUGACUUCAACCCGUUCGGUGAUGACUCGGACAGCGACGAUCCCUGGGCAAGUCGUAAGAACAAAUCUAAGAAUAAAAGUAAGAAGCAAAAAACCAAAAAGAAGAAAAAGCACGAUAAAUCCAUGGGAAAUGGCGCCGCUUCGCAGCCAGCCGUCCGGAAUGUGCCCACUGUGGACAGUGAAAAGAAGGCGGCAGCCAUGAAACAGGAACUGCUGGAUCGGCUGGAAAAGCUCGGGGACAAGCUUCCACCUAACACACUGGACCAACUCAUUGACGAACUCGGCGGGCCCGAGAAUGUCGCUGAGAUGACAGGCAGGAAGGGGCGUGUGGUGAGCACAGACAACGGCACAAUCCAGUACGAGUCUCGUUCUGAAGUUGACGUGCCCUUGGAAACCCUGAACCUUACUGAGAAACAGAGGUUCAUGGAUGGCGAGAAGCACAUUGCCAUCAUCUCCGAGGCGGCGAGCUCUGGUAUCUCACUGCAAUCGGACAGGAGAGCGAAAAACCAGGCUCGUAGGGUCCACAUCACCCUUGAGCUACCGUGGAGUGCAGAUAGAGCAGUGCAGCAGUUUGGACGUACACACAGGUCAAACCAGGUGAAUGCCCCAGAGUACAUAUUCCUCAUUUCUGACUUGGCUGGUGAACGAAGAUUUGCUUCCAUUGUGGCCAAACGUCUUGAGAGCUUGGGUGCACUGACUCACGGUGACAGGAGAGCCGGCGAAUCCAGAGACCUUUCUCGUUUCAACAUUGACAACAAGUAUGGCCGAGCUGCCCUGGAGACCAUGAUGCGAGGCCUUAUGGAGAUGGAAAUCCCGCCUCUGGUUCCACCACCUGAGGACUACGAGGGGGACUUCUUUGCCGAUUGCCGAAAAGCACUGGUCGGUGUAGGCUUGGUCAAUGAGGAUGAAUUCAGCAAGAUGCAGACACUUGACAAAGACUACAACAAUAUGAGCAAGUUCCUGAACCGCAUCCUGGGCAUUGAAGUAGAGCUUCAAAAUGCCUUGUUCAAGUACUUCACGGACACACUGGAUGCCAUCAUCUCCGAGGCCAAGAAGACCGGCCGCUACGACCUGGGCAUCUUGGACCUGGGCACGGCAGGUGACAAUGUGCGGCGUGUCAAGGUGGACGAGUUCAUCCGCAGUCACGCCACUGGCUCAGCCAAGACUGAGCUUCACACUGUGAGCGUUGAGCGCGGCCUCUCUUUUGAGGCCUCCCAGGACAUCUGGAAGGAGCUAACGGGCAAGGAGGAAGGCUACUACCUUUCCAACCAGGUGCGUUGUGGGAAGAAGACGGCAGUGCUGGCUGUUGCGGACCAAGCCCGGAGGUCGAAGGAGAAAAAGGAAAGGCUGUUCCGCCUGUACAGGCCAAACACAGGUCUCCAGGUUCGCCAGGAGAGCCUCAAUGAGUUAAAGAGCAAGUACAAAAAGGUCACUCCAGAUGAAGCACAACCCCAUUGGAAAGAGCAGUAUGAAUCAUCUGAAAACACAUGUAGUCACAUUUACUGGUACAACAGCUGCCGCAAGAAGACUAUGGGCAUGGUGUGCGAGAUUGGGCUGAGGCGGCGCACUUAUCAUGUGUUGAGCGGGUCGGUGCUGGCUGUCUGGGCCAAGGUGGAGAGCGUGCUGAGCUCAGUCCAUGGCCACCACAAUUCCUCCAAACUGCAGGUGGUGCGCCUCAAGACUGAGGAUAACUUGCGCAUCGUCGGUACCAUUAUUCCAAGCAACUGUGUCGCCCCGCUGGUGAACGUUCUCUCCCAAGACGCCGAGAAGACCAACUCCGAGACCUUUUGAGGCAGGGCCCGCUAUCUACUCCCAAGUGCAAGUGUGCAGGCCUGCACUACCCGCGUUGUUGUCACUGGGACGGCGCCGUUGUCGUGCUUGGCAGUGGUGUUGGCAGCCAGGAAGGUUUUCUUCCUCCGUGGACUCUCUCUCCUCUGUGUCUUCAUCGGGUGUCUUGACUCUUUGUGCAUGUACGUCACUGUGCCGCUCUCCUCCUGCUAUACAGUCGUCUGAAACCCGUGAUGUCAGUAGAGACGGGACGUUGCUUCUCCAUUUUAUGUCUCAUUUCUCUUUGUCCCUCUUUUCAUUUGAAGUGAAGGAAGAAAGUCUGCUGCGAGAACCAUACCAACACAUUGCAACAAAAAAACGGGCUAGGAAUGAUGUUUCAAUUUUUCUCACCCUCCUCUCGUAUCCCGAGGGAGGGAAAAGUUUAGUGAGAGAGGAUGUUGAAAAAAUGUGGAAGUCUCGUGUGUGUGUAUGGUGAUGAAAGAAAAUGUAUGUAGGAAUGUGUAUGUAUGUAUCAUGAUCGCUUCCCACAGUGGAGAACACAAGCAAGGACAGCUUUUGUAGAUAAUUCUCUCACCUUAUCUUCAGUUGUCAUUUUUUUUUUCUUUUGUACUCACUGCCUUUUUUAAAAUUCUUGUUGCUGUUCUCUCUCACGUUGCUGAGUGGCACCUUGUCAAACUUUUUUCCUCCCCAUGUGUUGUUACAGACCCAUUUGUUUUUGUAUGUCACGAAUCAUUUUUUGGAGAAUGGGAAAGCUCUGUCAUUCCCAAGUACACCCAUCUCAUUUAGCACACUACAACACCCCGUGCAUUUCAGGACUUUCCACCUUAUCUGUCCCUUUCAUAAUCCUCUGUUCUGAAAAUGCCAAUUUGUUCUGAUAAGCCAUAUUUGGCAUAAAUGUCAUGCAGUACUCAGUUUAGUCAGACCAAGUCGUGUUUCCCGCCCCUCAAGACAGAAAUCAUGUAACAGUGAUGAGAUGGCAAGCGCAAGCUGGCAGGUGGCCAUGUGUUUAGUGAAGCGUGUUUCGUAACUAUUUAUUACUAUCUAGCUCUUACAAGAAGACAGUGUUUACGGGCAGUAAAACAGUAAUGCUUCUUACCUUAAAUGCUUCUUUGUCCUCCUCCUCCUCCUAUGACUCAGUUUGGCAACUCUUGUUGAUUGCUUCAGUCAGGAAAGGCAAAUGAACAAGUUGAUUUCAAAAUUAUCAUGUGGUUCCCCAUUCCCAUGGAAAUGACUCUGAGAACUCAAAGUUCUGAAAUAAAAGGACAAUGCAAA
Dermacentor silvarum is the source of this 5325-nucleotide RNA transcript. It is a transcript of the gene named protein strawberry notch homolog 1, with no coding region annotated. The transcript is spliced from 27 exons. The record is from RefSeq and is a predicted model, not a curated record. NCBI's taxonomy places the organism in Eukaryota, Metazoa, Arthropoda, Arachnida, Ixodida, Ixodidae.